Non-coding RNA from Urocitellus parryii (Arctic ground squirrel), 560 nucleotides. The record is from RefSeq and is a predicted model, not a curated record. NCBI's taxonomy places the organism in Eukaryota, Metazoa, Chordata, Mammalia, Rodentia, Sciuridae.
UCACGGCCCAUGCCGGCUCAGAGCAGGCGACUGCGGGAGCGCCCGGAGCGCUGGUGGGACCCGCCGGCGAGCACCGGGCCUGAGCCUCCUUGGACCUGGGGUCCGCCUCUCCCCCCAACAUCUGUGGCCGCAGCCGGGCACUUGGGAAAGUUGCUAAGGCCGAGGAGGCGGGAGGAGAGAAAGCGAGGAGAGAGGCGGAGGCGUGGACCCGGCGGGCAGCAGCCUCAGCCCGCUGGGGAGUGAUCCUCCAACUGUGAAAAGCCAGACCUCUGGCUGCCUGACUCCCUAGGAAUCAGGGAGAUGCACAGACUGAAAAUCGGGAAGGAAAGGAACAAGAUCAAGGAUGAGGAUUAGCAUCUGCAAAUUGAACUCUAUCUAAUUUGCAUGUUUAUUUCUUAGAAUUGUAAUUAAAUUUGUGUAAUAAAUGUUUUYCAUUUCAUUUGUAUACUUAAAAUUUGGGUGACUGACAUGCAGUUAAGUGAAUUUCCUUUUUCCUUUUUAAAGAAAAUGUGGUUUAUUCAAUAAAGCAGCAAACAAAUAUUAAGCAUAAUUAGAACUAA